CGGACGGGUGAGUAAUGUCUGGGAAACUGCCCGAUGGAGGGGGAUAACUACUGGAAACGGUAGCUAAUACUGCAUAACGUCGCAAGACCAAAGAGGGGGACCUUCGGGCCUCUUGCCAUCGGAUGUGCCCAGAUGGGAUUAGCUAGUAGGUAAGGUAACGGCUUACCUAGGCGACGAUCCCUAGCUGGUCUGAGAGGAUGAUCAGCCACACUGGGACUGAGACACGGCCCAG
Molecule: ribosomal RNA, 232 nt
Filed under: uncultured bacterium
Lineage: Bacteria
Description: partial 16S ribosomal RNA
Rfam family: Bacterial small subunit ribosomal RNA
Source: RNAcentral